This 135-nucleotide small nucleolar RNA is filed under the name Dasypus novemcinctus (nine-banded armadillo). Its description in RNAcentral is "Small nucleolar RNA SNORA70 (ENSDNOG00000043583.1)". It matches the Rfam family "Small nucleolar RNA SNORA70". Rfam says of the family: snoRNA U70 seems to be exclusive to mammals and is a member of the H/ACA class of snoRNA which contain H (ANANNA) and ACA box motifs. H/ACA box snoRNAs are involved in the conversion of uridines to pseudouridines (5-ribosyluracil) a constituent of structural RNAs (transfer, ribosomal, small nuclear, and small nucleolar). The record is from RNAcentral. Lineage: Eukaryota; Metazoa; Chordata; Mammalia; Cingulata; Dasypodidae.
CUGCAGGCAAUUAAGCUGACCGGCCCCCUCUCCCCCUGGGGGCCCGGUGUGCAGUGGCUGCGGAUAGCAGCCUCCUUGGUAGUGUAUGUGGCCUGUUGCCUGUACGGGUUGCCCUAAGGGACCUUGGAGCCAGCC